AUGCCGCCCAUCUCGGAAAUUAUUUGUUGCAGUGGGAGGUUAGCCCAUGUGCUCCUGACCUGCUGUCUACUACUAGGUUUUAACAUAUUCUGUAUUGCUCGUUGUGGUCAAACUCUCUGGGUGAAAAUGGAUGGUGUAGCCACAAAUGUUUACCACCCUUCAGAAAGAAAAAACUUUGGCACUUGCCUUAUUAAUAAACGCGGCAUCGAAUUGAGGUCCUCUGUUUUCUUAACUCCACUUGCUCAUCUGUUAUUUGAACGACAUUGUUUCCUAUGCAUUCGAUCAUAUAUAUCCCUUUAA
Molecule: ribosomal RNA, 300 nt
Filed under: Triticum aestivum (bread wheat)
Lineage: Eukaryota; Viridiplantae; Streptophyta; Magnoliopsida; Poales; Poaceae
Description: partial small subunit ribosomal RNA
Source: RNAcentral